UGCAAGUCGAACGAUGAACCACUUCGGUGGGGAUUAGUGGCGAACGGGUGAGUAACACGUGGGCAAUCUGCCCUGCACUCUGGGACAAGCCCUGGAAACGGGGUCUAAUACCGGAUACUGACCCUCGCAGGCAUCUGCGAGGUUCGAAAGCUCCGGCGGUGCAGGAUGAGCCCGCGGCCUAUCAGCUUGUUGGUGAGGUAAUGGCUCACCAAGGCGACGACGGGUAGCCGGCCUGAGAGGGCGACCGGCCACACUGGGACUGAGACACGGCCCAGACUCCUACGGGAGGCAGCAGUGGGGAAUAUUGCACAAUGGGCGAAAGCCUGAUGCAGCGACGCCGCGUGAGGGAUGACGGCCUUCGGGUUGUAAACCUCUUUCAGCAGGGAAGAAGCGAAAGUGACGGUACCUGCAGAAGAAGCGCCGGCUAACUACGUGCCAGCAG
Molecule: ribosomal RNA, 442 nt
Filed under: Streptomyces sp. HVXM-24-5
Lineage: Bacteria; Bacillati; Actinomycetota; Actinomycetes; Kitasatosporales; Streptomycetaceae
Description: bacterial SSU rRNA
Rfam family: Bacterial small subunit ribosomal RNA
Source: RNAcentral